UCGCGGGCGCCCCUUUUUCUUGUUGGUGGGGUAAUGGCCUACCAAGGCGACGACGGGUAGCCGGCCUGAGAGGGCGACCGGCCACACUGGGACUGAGACACGGCCCAGACUCCUACGGGAGGCAGCAGUGGGGAAUAUUGCACAAUGGGCGAAAGCCUGAUGCAGCGACGCCGCGUGAGGGAUGACGGCCUUCGGGUUGUAAACCUCUUUCAGCAGGGAAGAAGCGAAAGUGACGGUACCUGCAGAAGAAGCGCCGGCUAACUACGUGCCAGCAGCCGCGGUAAUACGUAGGGCGCAAGCGUUGUCCGGAAUUAUUGGGCGUAAAGAGCUCGUAGGCGGCUUGUCACGUCGGGUGUGAAAGCCCGGGGCUUAACCCCGGGUCUGCAUCCGAUACGGGCAGGCUAGAGUGUGGUAGGGGAGAUCGGAAUUCCUGGUGUAGCGGUGAAAUGCGCAGAUAUCAGGAGGAACACCGGUGGCGAAGGCGGAUCUCUGGGCCAUUACUGACGCUGAGGAGCGAAAGCGUGGGGAGCGAACAGGAUUAGAUACCCUGGUAGUCCACGCCGUAAACGUUGGGAACUAGGUGUUGGCGACAUCCACGUCGCGGGGCAGCAGCAGCGCGGUGAACC
Molecule: ribosomal RNA, 626 nt
Filed under: Streptomyces sp. A39(2010)
Lineage: Bacteria; Bacillati; Actinomycetota; Actinomycetes; Kitasatosporales; Streptomycetaceae
Description: bacterial SSU rRNA
Rfam family: Bacterial small subunit ribosomal RNA
Source: RNAcentral